RNAcentral lists this ribosomal RNA (253 nucleotides) under uncultured bacterium. RNAcentral's name for it is "partial 16S ribosomal RNA". It matches the Rfam family "Bacterial small subunit ribosomal RNA", at positions 524 to 776 of the family's 1533-position model. The record is from RNAcentral.
GACGAACCGUGCGAACGUUGUUCGGAAUCACUGGGCUUAAAGGGCGCGUAGGCGGGCUUAAAAGUCAGGGGUGAAAUCCCGCGGCUCAACCGUGGAAGUGCCUCUGAUACUGUAAGUCUCGAGGGAGGUAGGGGCGUGCGGAACUUCCGGUUGAGCGGUGAAAUGCGUAGAUAUCGGAAGGAACACCGGUGGCGAAAGCGGCGCGCUGGACCUCUUCUGACGCUGAGGCGCGAAAGCCAGGGGAGCAAACGGG